This is a long non-coding RNA of Oncorhynchus tshawytscha (Chinook salmon), 371 nucleotides long. Lineage: Eukaryota; Metazoa; Chordata; Actinopteri; Salmoniformes; Salmonidae. The record is from Ensembl.
UCAAGGUCAGAAUACACAGACAGGGUGCUAUUCUCAUGCUGAUGUUCAAGGUCAGAAUACACAGACAGGGUGCUAUUCUCAUGCUGAUGUUCAAGGUCAGAAUACACAGACAGGGUUCUAUUCUCAUGCUGAUGUUCAAGGUCAGAAUACACAGACAGGGUACAUGAAAAGGGAAUAACGUUCCAUUUACGAGCUCUUACCUCGGGUCGGAUUCGGCCUGAUACAGCACAGACCUGAAAGUGAAUCAUAUUUGUGAAUGUAUUUAUUGUCCAGUGUUUCCAGGUGCUAAAGGAUUAUUAUGCCAGACUGAGAUAAGGGAUAUUCAUUAGGCUAUGAUACAUUAAACAACAGGCUGACUGACUGACUGACUG